AGGUUUUAGCUUAAUUUAAAGUGAUUGUUUUGCAGACAGUAGAUAACAUAUUAUGUUAAAUCUUA
Molecule: transfer RNA, 65 nt
Filed under: Halocynthia roretzi
Lineage: Eukaryota; Metazoa; Chordata; Ascidiacea; Stolidobranchia; Pyuridae
Description: tRNA-Ala
Source: RNAcentral